GAAUUCAGUAUCAUGAUAAUAAGAUAAUGCUACAUCGUACCCGUGUGAGUACUUUAAGCUGUGGAAGAUUUCUCACGUACGUUAUCACAGGGUUCUGAGAAGCGGUGAAGCUAAUGUUCUGAAGGAGACAAAGAAGUAUGUUGCUGUGUUCUCAAGACAAAUAUCAAAGACGUUUCAGUACUCAGAGCAGGAAAAGAUUAAUGGCUAGCCUAAAAGACUCCCAUUUGAACUUAGAAGCUUAAUAUUCAGUUGAAAGAGGAAUAAAGCCUAAUAAGAAUGAGUGAUAUUUUGUAGAGGUAAGAUUCAGCAGCUCACUCCAAAUUAAGGAAAUAAGUCAACGUUUCACUGGAAAAAACAAAAUACACAACAGGAUUUUAAAAAAUCAACAAGAAAAUAGAGAAGAGAGCAACUUCAUCCUUCCUAACUGCCCGUAGUUUCCUCUCUCUACCUUCUCAGUCUCAGAUAAAAGAAGAGCAGAGUGAGUGUGACCUUUCAGUACCCAGUCUUCAGGCUGACCCUCUGAAGUUAAGGUAUGAAGAUUACAGAUGGAUGGUCUUGGAAAUGCAAGGACCUACGGAAUACAGCAUCCAUGAAUUCUUCCUGGAAAAAGUACUUAAUGUAGAAAUCCAAUCAAUUAAGAGAUGAAUAAACAUGUAGAAAGAA
Molecule: non-coding RNA, 663 nt
Organism: Macaca mulatta (Rhesus monkey)
Lineage: Eukaryota; Metazoa; Chordata; Mammalia; Primates; Cercopithecidae
Source: RefSeq, a predicted model, not a curated record